Molecule: long non-coding RNA, 310 nt
Organism: Onychostruthus taczanowskii (white-rumped snowfinch)
Lineage: Eukaryota; Metazoa; Chordata; Aves; Passeriformes; Passeridae
Exons: 3
Source: RefSeq, a predicted model, not a curated record
UCUGCUCAAGGGAGUUAAUUCAGACAGUCCAGCUAACCUGGCUCCACUGUUUGCUGAGCUUGUCUCUGAUCCUACGUGGUUUCCUCCAUGGCUGCCUUCAAGCCUGGUUCACUUCUGCUGGAACUUGCUGUACUCGGAGAAAAGAGGGAUGUCCAGGUACAUCUUCCCUUUUUAGCUUUAAAUUGUCUGCCAUAAGAAUGAAGAAAUCUGAAUCAGACCAGCUGAAGCAAAGCCUUUUCUGCAGCCUUGUAAAAACACAGGAGUGACUUAAGAGAAGCUUCACCAGUACUGGCCUCAGCACAGACUAAGG